RNAcentral lists this long non-coding RNA (773 nucleotides) under Salvia miltiorrhiza (redroot sage). RNAcentral's name for it is "long non-coding RNA (SMIL_LNC006036)". Lineage: Eukaryota; Viridiplantae; Streptophyta; Magnoliopsida; Lamiales; Lamiaceae. The record is from RNAcentral.
CCAAAACUCCUCUCUCUCUCCCUCUCUCCCCUCUCUCUCUCUCAUUAACCAGCCAUGGUUGUACACAUCCAUAGGCCAUUUUUGGUGAUCAUAUGCUUAGCAUUAAUGUUUUCGUCGUUUAAAAUGCACGUAGUUAUUGGCACGCGAGGUUUAGAUCAGGGCGUGGAUCACAGGGACGAGCCCACACGCGUGGUCGAGGCAGCAGAAGUGAAAGGGAAGAAGGCCGCAGCUAAGAACAUGGGAUUUGAUUCAAACCAAUCAAGCAAAAGGAGGGUUCCCAAAGGAUCAGAUCCUAUCCAUAACAGAAGUUGAGAUCAUAUGUGUUUGGAUUAAUUAGGGUUUUUUUUUAAGGUUAAUUUCUGCAUGCAUGCUUCGUUUUGGGUGAAUUGAUGUUUUUGAUGUAUAUAGUUUAGAGCCAAAGAUGAGGAGAAGAGAUCAUCAACGCCUAAGAUUUGGUCAGUUGGGAUUUUUAUUGUUUUCCUAGAUUAGUUUUAGUGGAUAUACUAUGUUUAAGGAUGUUGAUUUUGUGUUUUUAAUUGUUCCAUGUCACACGUUUAUUUGAAGCCAUAAGUUGUAAGAAGAAAAAUAAAACACUUUUAAUUUUAUUUUAUUUUUCAUUUGAGGAGUAAGAGUUGUGGAGUUUGAAUCAUAGACCUCACUAUUUACAAACAGAAGUACUUUGCACCGCUUGAAUGUCCCAUUAGCAAUUGGCGACAAAAAAAAAAUAUUAGUUUUAAUUAAUUAAUUAGCUUUCUUAUUAUGCAGCAGUGGAU